Molecule: ribosomal RNA, 498 nt
Filed under: uncultured bacterium
Lineage: Bacteria
Description: partial 16S ribosomal RNA
Rfam family: Bacterial small subunit ribosomal RNA
Source: RNAcentral
AUUGAACGCUGGCGGCAUGCCUUACACAUGCAAGUCGAACGGUAACGCGGGGCAACCUGGCGACGAGUGGCGAACGGGUGAGUAAUGCAUCGGAACGUGCCCAGUAGUGGGGGAUAGCCCGGCGAAAGCCGGAUUAAUACCGCAUACGACCUAUGGGUGAAAGCGGGGGAUCGAAAGACCUCGCGCUAUUGGAGCGGCCGAUGUCAGAUUGGGUUGUUGGUGGGGUAAAAGCCUACCCAGCCUGCGAUCUGUAGCUGGUCUGAGAGGACGACCAGCCACACUGGGACUGAGGAACGGGCCAGACUCCUACGGGAGGCAGCAGUGGGGAAUUUUGGACAAUGGGCGCAAGCCUGAUCCAGCCAUGCCGCGUGCGGGAAGAAGGCCUUCGGGUUGUAAACCGCUUUUGUCGGGGAAGAAAUCUUCUGGGCUAAUACCUUGGGAGGAUGACGGUACCCGAAGAAUAAGCACCGGCUAACUACGUGCCAGCCGCCGCAGUAA